UAAGGACCUUAUCCGUAGAGAC
RNAcentral lists this microRNA (22 nucleotides) under Monodelphis domestica (gray short-tailed opossum). RNAcentral's name for it is "mdo-miR-7386h-3p". The record is from miRBase by way of RNAcentral. Lineage: Eukaryota; Metazoa; Chordata; Mammalia; Didelphimorphia; Didelphidae.